GCCAGGUGUGGUGGUGCAUGCCUAUUGUCCCAGUUACUUGGGAGGCUGAGGCAGGAGGAUCACUUGAGCCCAGGAGUUCUGGACUACAGUGUGCUAUGCCGAUCGGGUGUCUGCAGUAAGUUAGGCACCAAAUGGUGACCUCCUGGGAGCAUGGGACUACCAGGUUGCCUAAGGAGGAGUGAAUUGGCUCAGAUCAGACAUGGAGCAGGUAAAAACUGCCCUGCUAAUCGGUAGAGGGAUCGCACCUGUGCAUAGUCACUGCAUGCCAGCCUGGGCAGCAUAGCAACACCCCGUCUCUA
Unclassified non-coding RNA from Macaca fascicularis (crab-eating macaque), 299 nucleotides. It matches the Rfam family "Metazoan signal recognition particle RNA". From Rfam's summary of the family: The signal recognition particle (SRP) is a universally conserved ribonucleoprotein. The record is from Ensembl. Lineage: Eukaryota; Metazoa; Chordata; Mammalia; Primates; Cercopithecidae.